Molecule: transfer RNA, 78 nt
Filed under: Alphaproteobacteria bacterium
Lineage: Bacteria; Pseudomonadati; Pseudomonadota; Alphaproteobacteria
Description: tRNA-Gly
Source: RNAcentral
GAGGGCUAAUAGCGGCAAAACAAGGGAACUACCUUGCCAAGGUCGGGGUCGAGGGUUCGAAUCCCUUCGCCCGCUCCA